UUUUGUCUCUGGUGUCAGAGCUGAUUUAGUGCUGGGUAAGAGCAACUGAAGUUGUCUUUACGUGGCCAAAGACUGCCAUAGGGUAAACUGCAUCCAUCCUUUUACUUCUGCCAGUGGACAAACAGGUUCCAUGUGGAAGUUUCUAGGAAAAUACAAGACAAGUACUUUUCAAAGGAAUGUACUUGCACUAUAAAGGCUCUUAAUUUCUAUUUGUUAUGACAGGGAUAUUUUUACAUACUCAGAAGGCAAGUGUAUGAUAAUUAGUUUAAAAGGUACCAGCUAUCAAGUAAUUUUUUCUUUGCCUUCUUAAUAAGUGUUGCAGUUUUUCCUAUGAUUCUUUCUCUAGCCUGUACUAUGACAGAAGACCCGUACCAGCACGCUCCUGGAGGGAAUUUCACCAUCUAACCGCUGCCCUGUUGUGAUGUGACAAGGUUGCAUUUACCACUGUAAAUCAAUGAAAUGAAGACAUGCUCAGCGUGGUUCAGGUUCCUGAUGCUCAAGCAUACCCCAGUCCCUUCGGCUGCAGCGAUUAUAUAAUGAUUAUUAUCAACAAGGCUCAAGGUAAUUUAGCAACAGAACAAGAUACUCCAAGACAGAGCCUUGACUGCCCUCGGCUGCUCUUCACUUUUCCAUGCUCUACUAACGAGCUCCUGGGAUUCCAGCCUAGUUCAAUCAAAAUCAACUGGAAUAUUGGAACACAGAAUUAGCGGCAGCUACAAUGAAUACAGACUGUAGUAGAACUGACACACAUCUCUGAGUUACUGAGAUCUGCAGAGAACAGAGUAUGUCCAGAAGCUUCAUGUUAAUAAAUACUAACUUGAUAGUCUAGUGCUGACA
This 837-nucleotide long non-coding RNA is filed under the name Anser brachyrhynchus (Pink-footed goose). RNAcentral's name for it is "lncRNA (ENSABRG00000015800.1)". Lineage: Eukaryota; Metazoa; Chordata; Aves; Anseriformes; Anatidae. The record is from RNAcentral.